Neoarius graeffei (lesser salmon catfish) is the source of this 354-nucleotide non-coding RNA. The record is from the annotation of a RefSeq genome assembly. NCBI's taxonomy places the organism in Eukaryota, Metazoa, Chordata, Actinopteri, Siluriformes, Ariidae.
AUGGGCUGCUGCAGUAGAGGUCAGGUGACUGUGACUCAGACUCCUUCAGUGCAAACUGUUGCUCCAGGAAACACAGUCACCAUCAACUGUAGAACCAGUAGCAGAGUGUAUGAUGGUGACACUCUCGCCUGGUACCUGCAGAAACCUGGAGAAGCUCCUAAACUCCUGAUCUAUGAGGCUACUACUUUACAGUCAGGGACUCCAGCUCGUUUCAGCGGCAGUGGAUCGAAUACUGACUUCACUCUGACCAUCAGUGGAGUCCAGACUGAAGAUGCAGGAGAUUACUACUGUCAGAGUUAUCAUUAUAUCAGUAGUAGCGAUGUGUUCACACAGUGUUAGAGCGUCGUACAAAAA